RNAcentral lists this unclassified non-coding RNA (377 nucleotides) under uncultured Pseudobdellovibrionaceae bacterium. RNAcentral's name for it is "uncultured Bdellovibrionaceae bacterium contains 16S-23S intergenic spacer region". Lineage: Bacteria; Pseudomonadati; Bdellovibrionota; Bdellovibrionia; Bdellovibrionales; Pseudobdellovibrionaceae. The record is from RNAcentral.
UCCAACUUAACGUUGGCAGUCUUAUUAGAGUGCCCAACUGAAUGCUGGCAACUAAUAACAAGGGUUGCGCUCGUUGCGGGACUUAACCCAACAUCUCACGACACGAGCUGACGACAGCCAUGCAGCACCUGUCUCUCUGUCCCUUUCGGGCCUAUAAUAUCUCUACUAUAUUCAGAGGAUGCCAAACCCAGGUAAGGUUUUUCGCGUUGCAUCGAAUUAAACCACAUGCUCCACCGCUUGUGCGGGCCCCCGUCAAUUUCUUUGAGUUUUAAUCUUGCGACCGUACUCCCCAGGCGGGGUACUUAAUGCGUUAGCUCCGGCACUGAAGGGGUCAAUACCUUCAACACCAAGUACCCAUCGUUUACGGCGUGGACUAC